CUACAUAAUUAUUCCAACCUAAUUUACUUAUAUAUUGCCAAAGUAGCUCAGCUGGUAGAGUACUCAAUUCGUAAUUGAGUUGUCAUGGGUUCAAAUCCCUUCUUUGGCU
RNAcentral lists this transfer RNA (109 nucleotides) under Galdieria sulphuraria. RNAcentral describes it as "tRNA-Thr". The stretch from base 37 to 109 matches the Rfam family "tRNA". From Rfam's summary of the family: Transfer RNA (tRNA) molecules are approximately 80 nucleotides in length. Their secondary structure includes four short double-helical elements and three loops (D, anti-codon, and T loops). Further hydrogen bonds mediate the characteristic L-shaped molecular structure. tRNAs have two regions of fundamental functional importance: the anti-codon, which is responsible for specific mRNA codon recognition, and the 3' end, to which the tRNAs corresponding amino acid is attached (by aminoacyl-tRNA synthetases). tRNAs cope with the degeneracy of the genetic code in two manners: having more than one tRNA (with a specific anti-codon) for a particular amino acid; and 'wobble' base-pairing, i.e. permitting non-standard base-pairing at the 3rd anti-codon position. Lineage: Eukaryota; Rhodophyta; Bangiophyceae; Galdieriales; Galdieriaceae. The record is from RNAcentral.